This 444-nucleotide ribosomal RNA is filed under the name uncultured bacterium. RNAcentral's name for it is "bacterial SSU rRNA". It matches the Rfam family "Bacterial small subunit ribosomal RNA", at positions 8 to 445 of the family's 1533-position model. The record is from RNAcentral.
AGAGUUUGAUCAUGGCUCAGAACGAACGCUGGUGGCGUGCUUAACACAUGCAAGUCGAACGAGAAAGUUUCCUUCGGGAAAUUAGUAAAGUGGCGCAAGGGUGAGUAUCACGUGAAUAAUCUGCCCUCGAGAUCGGGAUAACAUGGUGAAAACUAUGCUAAUACCGGAUAAGACCACAUUUCAGAAGAAAUGCGGUAAAAGGAGUCUCAAUCUCCACUUGAGGAUGAGUUCGCGCAACAUUAGCUUGUUGGUGAGAUAAAAGCUCACCAAGGCUACGAUGUUUAGCCGNCCUGAGAGGGUGAACGGCCACACUGGAACUGANNCNCGGUCCAGACUCCUACGGGAGGCAGCAGUGGGGAAUAUUGCGCAAUGGGCGAAANCCUGACGCAGCAACGCCGUGUGAGCGAUGAAGGCUUUAGGGUCGUAAAGCUCUGUCAAAUGGGA